This 503-nucleotide ribosomal RNA is filed under the name uncultured bacterium. RNAcentral's name for it is "partial 16S ribosomal RNA". It matches the Rfam family "Bacterial small subunit ribosomal RNA", at positions 30 to 523 of the family's 1533-position model. The record is from RNAcentral.
AUUGAACGCUGGCGGCAGGCUCAACACAUGCAAGUCGAGCGGGGUGAUGGUGCUUGCACUAUCACUUAGCGGCGGACGGGUGAGUAAUGCUUAGGAAUCUGCCUAUUAGUGGGGGACAACAUCUCGAAAGGGAUGCUAAUACCGCAUACGUCCUACGGGAGAAAGCAGGGGAUCACUUGUGACCUUGCGCUAAUAGAUGAGCCUAAGUCGGAUUAGCUAGUUGGUGGGGUAAAGGCCUACCAAGGCGACGAUCUGUAGCGGGUCUGAGAGGAUGAUCCGCCACACUGGGGCUGAGACACGGCCCAGACUCCUACGGGAGGUAGCAGUGGGGAAUAUUGGACAAUGGGGGGAACCCUGAUCCAGCCAUGCCGCGUGUGUGAAGAAGGCCUUAUGGUUGUAAAGCACUUUAAGCGAGGAGGAGGCUCUUUUGGUUAAUACCCAAGAUGAGUGGACGUUACUCGCAGAAUAAGCACCGGCUAACUCUGUGCCAGCCGCCGCCGUAA